AUUGAACGCUGGCGGCAGGCCUAACACAUGCAAGUCGAGCGGAUGAAGGGAGCUUGCUCCUGGAUUCAGCGGCGGACGGGUGAGUAAUGCCUAGGAAUCUGCCUGGUAGUGGGGGAUAACGUCCGGAAACGGGCGCUAAUACCGCAUACGUCCUGAGGGAGAAAGUGGGGGAUCUUCGGACCUCACGCUAUCAGAUGAGCCUAGGUCGGAUUGGCUAGUUGGUGGGGUAAAGGCCUACCAAGGCGACGAUCCGUAACUGGUCUGAGAGGAUGAUCAGUCACACUGGAACUGAGACACGGUCCAGACUCCUACGGGAGGCAGCAGUGGGGAAUAUUGGACAAUGGGCGAAAGCCUGAUCCAGCCAUGCCGCGUGUGUGAUGAAGGUCUUCGGAUUGUAAAGCACUUUAAGUUGGGAGGAAGGGCAGUAAGUUAAUACCUUGCUGUUUUGACGUUACCAACAGAAUAAGCACCGGCUAACUUCGUG
RNAcentral lists this ribosomal RNA (484 nucleotides) under uncultured bacterium. Its description in RNAcentral is "partial 16S ribosomal RNA". It matches the Rfam family "Bacterial small subunit ribosomal RNA", at positions 30 to 507 of the family's 1533-position model. The record is from RNAcentral.